Molecule: non-coding RNA, 183 nt
Organism: Acinetobacter towneri
Lineage: Bacteria; Pseudomonadati; Pseudomonadota; Gammaproteobacteria; Moraxellales; Moraxellaceae
Source: Rfam
CUAACUCUGAGGUGUUCGCCAGCGAGUCUAUAUCCCUGCCGAUACUUAAAUCUUAGGAUUGUGUUCUGCAUAUUUAGAGCGUAUGCCCAUCUCGUAUGGGAAACCCAGCAAGUAUGCGUCGCGUCCGCCUUGAACUUUUUCGGGUUCAGGGUAACGACAUGCAGCGGCAUCUUCGGAGCUAUU